CGCCGCGCUCCCGAGAGCCGCCGCAUCCGCCGCGGCACCGAGUUUUCAGCCGGGCAGAGCCAGACGUCAGCAGGAGGAGGGCGGAGAGCUUAUGGUCCAUCUGGUGAACAAACACUGCAGGCUUAUCUGAACUCCAACUCACAGCCUGACUCAUCGGCGGCUCCGAAGCACAUUCUGUAAUCACUGGAAGACUAAGUUAUUUCAGAGUGAAGAUUAGCAUUUUUCUUAAAAACAGUCAAGUCCUUAUCACACCAAAAUUUAGAUUUUGGAUAUGUGUUAUGAGAUGAAGGCUAAAAAGGUGAAUUAACUGAUUUGUCCAAGAAUGGGUAUCUCUAAAAUACUCAGUCUUAAAAUCUGUGAAGAAUACAGAACAAAUAGCAAAUUUGUGUAUAUUCCUAUGAUAUAAAAAAAUCACAGCACCUAAGGAAUGUGCCUUAGGAAUAGAAAAGGUUGGAAAUAGGCCAUGAGAGUGUUUAAUGAGUAAUCUGCAGCAGCAAAGUCAUCUGAAGACUGGGUUUCUUUCCUGAAGUGACAGUCUUAAUUUUUUUUUUCCUUCCAUCACUACCAGAACAACACAAGACUCCUAAUCCCUUCAGUGCAUAUGGAGGACAUAGACCUUUUCCCUGGGAGUCUGUUGGUUUUACUAGUCUAAGCAUCAAAUCUGAAAGAACAAAACAGGGUAAGGAAUUACUCCUUGAGAAUUUCACCAUCUCAGACUACAGGUCACUGCCUGCUCUGCAACAAGUUCCCAAAACAUUGCUUUUUGUUUUUAAACACUGGUAUAUUGCUAGACUUAAAAGGUAGAGGAAGUGUAUUUUGAUUUUUUAGGAACCACAGAACCACCAUUAACUUCAUGUUCUGCAAUUCAGUCACUCUAUGGUUUACAUGUGUGUUCUUCACCACUCAGGUAUCCUGUACCAUGGAUGUGCACUCUUUCAUAUUUUCUUUUCAUAAACAAAACUAAGAUUCUUUGCCAGGUACUCCUUUUAUAUCAGGCUACCCUCCAAGUGGGUUAUAAAAUUCAGGUUCUCUCUUAUGUGUGCAUGGGCAGAACUAAAGUCAAAUGAGAUGAGAUCACUGCAUGCAAGAAAUGCCUUCUAUUCUGAAACCUUGAGAUUCCAACAAACAUUUCUUAAUCCACUCCGGUUUCAUUUUGCCACAUCACAAAUGCAAACUCUGGUGUCAAUGAAUAUGCAAAAGCCAAAUUUUUGACACCAACAUUUCAUUCUGGUAACACUGUCUAUAAAUUAUCAACUGAACAUACUGUGUCAGGAUUCAAAGACAAUAAAAGCAGGUUCUAUGUUCACUUUGUAUGAAAUACCUGAUAUGGAUGUGGGAUGUAUAUUACACCUUCCUUCUGAGAGAGAAAUUUAGUUCAGGACCUUGGCAUAUGCUCCACUUCACGAAGUGAAGGAAAAUGGAAGAAUUAUUCCCUUCACCAUCACAUUAAAGCAUCCCUUUUUCUUUACAAUCUCUUGCAUAUAAAACCUUUUACUAUCAAUGAGGGGAAAUGGCUGUAGAUGUACUUUAUAUACAGCCCUCCAUGUUGUGACAGCUUUUUCUUUCAGCCAGUGGUCGAGGAUAAUCACGGAAGGAUUACCCAUCUGUUCUUGCCAUGUGGCAUUCUGUCUCAGUGAGGAGAUAGUGCAGUUCACAGCUUCCUGCAGUUCUUUUUUUUUUUUUUUUCUGAUGUUCUCUCAUUAACUAAAAAUUGUUUUAUUAUCCGAGUUGCUAAGUUGGAAAGUCUGGAAGACUCAUGAAGGUGACCUACUUUGGAUUAUCUAAAUUAGAACUAACCACUGCCUGUUGCAAAUAUCAUUUUGUUUAGAUGCAGAAGGUUUGUUUGGCUUGGGCUUCCAUCCUAGGUUUUGCUUUUUUUUCUGUCCACUUGAUGGAAAAAGACAAGUGGUACACAAAGGAAGGUAACCAGAGAAGAAGAGAUGGAAUAAAGAGACUUUUUCACUAAGAGUGACUUUGUAGGUUGUGUUUACAUGAAUAGCCAGUUUUUCAGAACACCCAACAGUUUUUAGACUACAUUUACUAUGAUGACAUACCUGUGCAAAAUAUAUGUAAUGAUUUAUCCCAGUAAUCACCUGGAACAUGUUCUGUGUGUCUAAACUUCUACCAAGAUAUCACUAUUACUUGCUGAUGGAAGAAUAACUAGAAAGG
Molecule: long non-coding RNA, 2169 nt
Organism: Melospiza melodia melodia
Lineage: Eukaryota; Metazoa; Chordata; Aves; Passeriformes; Passerellidae
Exons: 2
Source: RefSeq, a predicted model, not a curated record